GACGAACGCUGGCGGCGUGCCUAAUACAUGCAAGUAGAACGCUGAAGGAGGAGCUUGCUCUUCUGGAUGAGUUGCGAACGGGUGAGUAACGCGUAGGUAACCUGCCUGGUAGCGGGGGAUAACUAUUGGAAACGAUAGCUAAUACCGCAUAAGAGUAGAUGUUGCAUGACAUUUGCUUAAAAGGUGCAAUUGCAUCACUACCAGAUGGACCUGCGUUGUAUUAGCUAGUUGGUGGGGUAACGGCUCACCAAGGCAACGAUACAUAGCCGACCUGAGAGGGUGAUCGGCCACACUGGGACUGAGACACGGCCCAGACUCCUACGGGAGGCAGCAGUAGGGAAUCUUCGGCAAUGGACGGAAGUCUGACCGAGCAACGCCGCGUGAGUGAAGAAGGUUUUCGGAUCGUAAAGCUCUGUUGUAAGAGAAGAACGAGUGUGAGAGUGGAAAGUUCACACUGUGACGGUAUCUUACCAGAAAGGGACGGCUAACUACGUGCCAGCAGCCGCGGUAAUACGUAGGUCCCGAGCGUUGUCCGGAUUUAUUGGGCGUAAAGCGAGCGCAGGCGGUUAGAUAAGUCUGAAGUUAAAGGCUGUGGCUUAACCAUAGUACGCUUUGGAAACUGUUUAACUUGAGUGCAAGAGGGGAGAGUGGAAUUCCAUGUGUAGCGGUGAAAUGCGUAGAUAUAUGGAGGAACACCGGUGGCGGAAGCGGCUCUCUGGCUUGUAACUGACGCUGAGGCUCGAAAGCGUGGGGAGCAAACAGG
Molecule: ribosomal RNA, 763 nt
Filed under: uncultured Streptococcus sp.
Lineage: Bacteria; Bacillati; Bacillota; Bacilli; Lactobacillales; Streptococcaceae
Description: bacterial SSU rRNA
Rfam family: Bacterial small subunit ribosomal RNA
Source: RNAcentral